This 401-nucleotide long non-coding RNA is filed under the name Monodelphis domestica (gray short-tailed opossum). RNAcentral describes it as "lncRNA (ENSMODG00000029846.2)". The record is from RNAcentral. Lineage: Eukaryota; Metazoa; Chordata; Mammalia; Didelphimorphia; Didelphidae.
CAACGUCAAUGAUUUCUGUUUUCCAUAGGAGUGAUGUUUGGCUAGAUUUGGAACCUUUCACACCAAAUCUGGAAACUUCUUAUGUCAAGAUUGUGAUCCAGUUUUUGAAACUCUUGCAAAGACAUAAUCUAUUGGAGAGCUGCAAAGACUACAAAUUGUCUGGGGAGAAAAAGAGGACAAUCAAAAUCGUUCCUGAUGACUUUGGCAUGGUAUAUCCUAUUUAUGUAUUUGGAUGUCUUCAAGUCAAAGACACCACAAGAAGAUUUAUAAUGAUGACUUAGUCUCAGGAUAAACUGUCGAAGAGGAAAAAGGAUAUACAAGAACUAUCACGACUUUACGGAGAACCAUGUAGAGGGAAAAACAUCAUCUACCAAGUCUUUUUGCUUCCACUAGAAAUGCAG